GACGAACGCUGGCGGCGUGCUUAACACAUGCAAGUCGAACGGAAAGGCCCUGCUUUUGUGGGGUGCUCGAGUGGCGAACGGGUGAGUAACACGUGAGUAACCUGCCCUUGACUUUGGGAUAACUUCAGGAAACUGGGGCUAAUACCGGAUAGGAGCUCCUGCUGCAUGGUGGGGGUUGGAAAGUUUCGGCGGUUGGGGAUGGACUCGCGGCUUAUCAGCUUGUUGGUGGGGUAGUGGCUUACCAAGGCUUUGACGGGUAGCCGGCCUGAGAGGGUGACCGGCCACAUUGGGACUGAGAUACGGCCCAGACUCCUACGGGAGGCAGCAGUGGGGAAUAUUGCACAAUGGGCGGAAGCCUGAUGCAGCAACGCCGCGUGCGGGAUGACGGCCUUCGGGUUGUAAACCGCUUUCGCCUGUGACGAAGCGUGAGUGACGGUAAUGCGUAAAGAAGCACCGGCUAACUACGUG
Molecule: ribosomal RNA, 468 nt
Filed under: uncultured bacterium
Lineage: Bacteria
Description: partial 16S ribosomal RNA
Rfam family: Bacterial small subunit ribosomal RNA
Source: RNAcentral